GAGCGAAGACCAGUGAUUUCUUGUUAGUCCAUAGUUUUAUCUGUACUAUGCACCCCCUGAUUUUGAAUAGAAUAAUUGAAUUGUUCAAUUUACAAUUCUAUACCUUCUUUAAAACUGUCAUAACUCUGCUUAGUUAAAAAGAAUUAAAAUGAUAGCUUGCAAAGUAUCUGUUUUAGGUUGUACUACUUAAUUACUGAGAUAGAUCUCAACUUCCACAGGUAAAAAAACAGUCUUACUUUCCUUAACUACUUCUUUGAAGGGCAACUUCCUUAGGUACUUGUAUUUUUUCCCUCCAAACUAUUUUAUCUGACACCAAACAUAGGUUUUACAUUUCCAAGCAAAGUACAACAUCUCUCAAGGUUUGUUGACAUGUUUCCAGUCCUGUGGGUGUCUCCCAGGCAACAGAAAUUUAGGGGAACUAAACAUAGUAUAUGAAAAACAGAUGGAAAUUGAGAUGUUGAUCAAAUGAACAGUGAAAAUGGAAACUAGGAAAAUGCCAGGCCUCACAUAGAUGCUUGUAACCUGAUGAUACCGCAAGACGCAAGUGGUGAAGACUGGCUGCUGAAAUACCAGCUUGUAUUAGGCAGAGCUGGAGGUAGGGUUCCCUAUCUUCUGGCUUGGACAAGCUGUUUCUGGAUGCUGGGGAAAAGCUUGGCUACACAUCUCACUCAGAAUGUCUCCCUUAAGAGUCAUCAUUUCUGGAAGUGCUUCCAGGUAUUUCAAGAAGGAAUAGUGAAGCAACUGGGACAGAGUCCUACGAUUCACCUGCCAGAGGAGGCAAAGAGCUUUGCGGCUGAAAUACAUCAUCUGACAAAGUCAAGUUCUAAUUAUAUUUAUGCAAGGUUAAAUUUGAAGUGA
RNAcentral lists this long non-coding RNA (858 nucleotides) under Sus scrofa (pig). RNAcentral's name for it is "lncRNA (ENSSSCG00065031355.1)". Lineage: Eukaryota; Metazoa; Chordata; Mammalia; Artiodactyla; Suidae. The record is from RNAcentral.